Molecule: ribosomal RNA, 391 nt
Filed under: Pseudocalanus sp.
Lineage: Eukaryota; Metazoa; Arthropoda; Copepoda; Calanoida; Clausocalanidae
Description: partial small subunit ribosomal RNA
Rfam family: Eukaryotic small subunit ribosomal RNA
Source: RNAcentral
AUUCCAGCUCCAAUAUUUUUUUUUAUUGUUGUUGUGGUUCCCCCUCUUUUCGUUUUCUCUCUUCGGUCUGCGGGCGGUUCGCUUCAGAGCGCUACUGCCCUAUAGACCGUAGUUUUGCCAGAGGUCUCAGGGUGCUCUUAACCGAGUGUCUUGCGAUGCUGGCAGGUUUACUUUGAAAAAAUUAGAGUGCUCAAAGCAGGCUUUUACGCCUGAAUAUUCGUGCAUGGAAUAAUAGAAUAGGAAGUCGUUUCUAUUUUGUUGGUUUUCGGAAAUCGACUUAAUGAUUAAUAGGGACAGUCGGGGGCAUUUGUAUUCAAACGACAGAGGUGAAAUUCUUGGACCGUUUGAAGACAAACUACUGCGAAAGCAUUUGCCAAGAAUGUUUUCAUUA